GCAGUUAAAAAGCUCGUAGUCGGAUUUCAGGAUUAGUUGUCGCCCUAUUACUGGGUUGUACUUCUACCCUUCCUAACGAACAGCUAUCAUUUCAUUUAUUUGAUGUGGUAGUCUAUCGUUUCUUUUACUUUGAGAAAAUUAGAGUGUUCAAAGCAGGCUUCUGCCCGAAUAUUACUCUUGGAAUAAUACUAUAGGACCUUGGACUUAUUUGAUGGUGAGUAGGACUGAGGUAAUGAUUGAUAGGGACGGUUGGGGUCAUUCGUACUGUAAAGCGAGCGGUGAAAUGCUUGGACCUUUAUAUGACGACCUACUGCGAAAGCAUUUGACUAGGACGUUCCCGUUGAUCAAGAACGAAAGUUGGGGGAUCGAAGACGAUCAGAUACCGUCGUAGUCUCAACCAUAAACUAUGCCAGCUAGGGAUUGGAAGUCGAUCUUAUUUAUGACACUUUCAGCACCUUAUGAGAAAUCAAAGCAUUUGGGUUCCGGGGGGAGUAUGGUCGCAAGGCUGAAACUUAAAGGAAUUGACGGGAGGGCACCACCAGGAGUGGAGCCUGCGGCUUAAUUUGAUUCAACACGGGAAAACUUACCAGGUCCGGACAAAGUAAGGAUUGACAGAUUGAAAGCUCUUUCUUGAUUCUUUGGGUGGGGGUGCAUGGCCGUUCUUAAUUGGUGGAAUGAUUUGUCUGGUUAAUUCCGUUAACGAACGAGACCUCAGCCUGCUAAAUAGUACUGUCAUUCUGGAAUGGCAGCGACUUCUUAAAGG
This 763-nucleotide ribosomal RNA is filed under the name uncultured marine eukaryote. RNAcentral describes it as "SSU rRNA". It matches the Rfam family "Eukaryotic small subunit ribosomal RNA", at positions 615 to 1417 of the family's 1831-position model. The record is from RNAcentral.